CCUACGGGUGGCAGCAGUGAGGAAUAUUGGUCAAUGGACGCAAGUCUGAACCAGCAUGCCGCGUGCAGGAAGACGGCUCUAUGAGUUGUAAACUGCCUUUGUACGAGGGUAAACGCAGAUAAGGGUAUCUGUCUGACAGUAUCGUACGAAAAAGGAUCGGCUAACUCCGUGCCAGCAGCCGCGGUAAUACGGAGGAAUCAAGCGUUAUCCGGAUUUAUUGGGUUUAAAGGGUGCGUAGGCGGGCGGAUAAGUUAGAGGUGAAAACCCGAGGCUCAACUUCGGAAUUGCCUCUGAUACUGUUAAGCUAGAGAGUAGUUGCGGUAGGCGGAAUGUAUGGUGUAGCGGUGAAAUGCUUAGAGAUCAUACAGAACACCGAUUGCGAAGGCAGCUUACCAAGCUACUUCUGACGUUGAGGCACGAAAGCGUGGGGAGCAAACAGGAUUAGAUACCCCUGUAGUC
RNAcentral lists this ribosomal RNA (459 nucleotides) under uncultured bacterium. RNAcentral describes it as "partial 16S ribosomal RNA". It matches the Rfam family "Bacterial small subunit ribosomal RNA", at positions 338 to 795 of the family's 1533-position model. The record is from RNAcentral.